RNAcentral lists this ribosomal RNA (241 nucleotides) under Clostridioides difficile. Its description in RNAcentral is "partial 16S ribosomal RNA". It matches the Rfam family "Bacterial small subunit ribosomal RNA", at positions 217 to 457 of the family's 1533-position model. Lineage: Bacteria; Bacillati; Bacillota; Clostridia; Peptostreptococcales; Peptostreptococcaceae. The record is from RNAcentral.
AGUACAGGAUGGACCCGCGUCUGAUUAGCUAGUUGGUAAGGUAACGGCUUACCAAGGCGACGAUCAGUAGCCGACCUGAGAGGGGGAUCGGCCACAUUGGAACUGAGACACGGUCCAAACUCCUACGGGAGGCAGCAGUGGGGAAUAUUGCACAAUGGGCGAAAGCCUGAUGCAGCAACGCCGCGUGAGUGAUGAAGGCCUUCGGGUCGUAAAACUCUGUCCUCAAGGAAGAUAAUGACGG